UCUAUACACAUAAGAAGGAGCAUGUAAGUUGAAUAAUCUCAAAUUUUCAAGUGCAUGUUGUUGUGCAUUUUGAAGUAUGAACUUUUUGUUUCUCGGAACUUGGAGUUGGAUUUCUUUGAACCAAACAUAUGUUAUUACCUUGUAGAUGGUCUUAUGGAAUGUGUUUCAUAGUUUUUAUUUAUGCUUUUGUUGGAUGAGAUUUUUUUUAUUAACUGUGCAACUACUUGACUAAUGAACGAAAAAAUUGUAUGUAAUAGGGUGCUAUUGCUUUGUUCGGGAUG
RNAcentral lists this unclassified non-coding RNA (281 nucleotides) under Hevea brasiliensis (rubber tree). The record is from RNAcentral. Lineage: Eukaryota; Viridiplantae; Streptophyta; Magnoliopsida; Malpighiales; Euphorbiaceae.